Molecule: ribosomal RNA, 252 nt
Filed under: uncultured Actinomycetales bacterium
Lineage: Bacteria; Bacillati; Actinomycetota; Actinomycetes; Actinomycetales
Description: partial 16S ribosomal RNA
Rfam family: Bacterial small subunit ribosomal RNA
Source: RNAcentral
CUUGCAGGGUACUCGAGUGGCGAACGGGUGAGUAACACGUGGGUGAUCUGCCCUGCACUUCGGGAUAAGCUUGGGAAACUGGGUCUAAUACCGGAUAGGAACCAUCUUUAGUGUGGUGGUUGGAAAGUUUUUUCGGUGUAGGAUGAGCUCGCGGCCUAUCAGCUUGUUGGUGGGGUAAUGGCCUACCAAGGCGGCGACGGGUAGCCGGCCUGAGAGGGUGUACGGCCACAUUGGUACUGAGAUACGGCCCAG